Long non-coding RNA from Cyprinus carpio carpio, 516 nucleotides. The record is from Ensembl. Lineage: Eukaryota; Metazoa; Chordata; Actinopteri; Cypriniformes; Cyprinidae.
UGUACAUCUUGUGUGAUUUACGCUGCGAUUCUCUGAGAUAAUCAUCACUCUGUCUCAUGACAGCCUUAUUUAUAACGUUCACACAGGUUCAGUCUCACCGCUCAGGUGUGUUAAGGCUCAACUCUAUAGGCCACGUCACCCCUCAUGCCUCCGCCGUGCAUGAAAAUGGAAUUGAAAUAUAACUACGCCUCACUGACCAGGUCAAGAACCUAAUUUCCGUCUGACUCCAAAAGAGGUAAUUUGACUUGAGGAAAUGUUUGUAGACUGUGUGUGUGAGUGAGCGAGAGAGAGCUGGAUGUGUGUGAAGCAGACGUGGGGUGACCAACCUGGGCCCUCUGUAUUUAUGAUGCACUUUUGUGAAUACAUUACAGCUGUCAUGAUGAAAUAAGUGACAUACUUACACACCGUUCGAGCUCUCGGAGGAGGAGAACAGAAGGAGGGGGGGGGGGAGAUAAGAGAGGAGUUACUUUAAAGGACUCAUAGUUGUUGAGAGCACAAGAGAGAAAGAAGAAAGAG